Dipodomys ordii (Ord's kangaroo rat) is the source of this 57-nucleotide non-coding RNA. NCBI's taxonomy places the organism in Eukaryota, Metazoa, Chordata, Mammalia, Rodentia, Heteromyidae. The record is from Rfam.
GGCUCAGUGGUAGAGUGCUUGCCUUGCAUGCAUGAGGCCCUGGGUUCGAUUCCUCAG